CGGCAGUGCCGAAGUGGGUAAGUCUUGAUGUAGUAAAUAAGUUGAGGCUCAGAUCUGUUAUUGUCGGACGAGAGAAAGUCCAAUCCGCCAUGGCUGCAAAUCACCGGUUGCAUGUGAUCAGAAAAAUCACAUGCCAUCCGUGUUGCCUCGCCAAGUUACGGGGCCGAUCGUCUCGUUGUCCGACUCAUAAGCUCAGAGGAAUCAAGAAACAUCGUCACAGCCACUUUAUUUACUUCAAAACAUACCGCUAAAUAAUAGCAUUACUCAAAACUCAUAAUCUCAAAAGCUUUGCCAAGUAGGGAAAAUACUUGAAGGGUAAAUUUCAUUCGCAGUCACCAAACUUGGAAGAGCGGAAUGUGGAAAAAGUUUUGUAAAAACCCUAAACCAUAACCCAUUACAUAUAGUACCCAAACAAUGGCUGAAUCUCUGUCUCUUUCUCUCUAUAUACACAUAGAUUUGAGAUUUCCAUAUGUAUGUAUGUAUGUUAAAGGGUUGUUAGUGAGUUGUUGAUAGAUGAAUCAUUGGCGAAGAGGAAGGGGUAACAACCCUUAACAAAUCCCCAAUCUUCUCCCCUCAUUCUACCCUCUGAGCUUAACCUGUUGCCUGACUGCUGAAGGGCUUGUUACUUACACCCUGUUUGGCCCCCAUUACCUGAAAAUGGUAAUGGGGGGAAUAGUAUUUUUUAGAAAAAUGAGUGGUUGAAAAAGAAGGUAAAGUUUUCGAUUUACGUGUAAUAUUAUUUUAUAGAAGAUUGUAUGGUUGAAAA
This 766-nucleotide long non-coding RNA is filed under the name Olea europaea (common olive). RNAcentral's name for it is "long non-coding RNA (OEUR_LNC004482)". Lineage: Eukaryota; Viridiplantae; Streptophyta; Magnoliopsida; Lamiales; Oleaceae. The record is from RNAcentral.